Molecule: ribosomal RNA, 635 nt
Filed under: Bacillus sp. (in: firmicutes)
Lineage: Bacteria; Bacillati; Bacillota; Bacilli; Caryophanales; Bacillaceae
Description: bacterial SSU rRNA
Rfam family: Bacterial small subunit ribosomal RNA
Source: RNAcentral
UGCCUAAUACAUGCAAGUCGAGCGGAUCUUCAUUAGCUUGCUUUUGAAGAUCAGCGGCGGACGGGUGAGUAACACGUGGGCAACCUGCCUGUAAGACUGGGAUAACUUCGGGAAACCGGAGCUAAUACCGGAUAAUCCUUUCCCUCACAUGAGGGAAAGCUGAAAGACGGUUUCGGCUGUCACUUACAGAUGGGCCCGCGGCGCAUUAGCUAGUUGGUGAGGUAACGGCUCACCAAGGCAACGAUGCGUAGCCGACCUGAGAGGGUGAUCGGCCACACUGGGACUGAGACACGGCCCAGACUCCUACGGGAGGCAGCAGUAGGGAAUCUUCCGCAAUGGACGAAAGUCUGACGGAGCAACGCCGCGUGAACGAUGAAGGCUUUCGGGUCGUAAAGUUCUGUUGUCAGGGAAGAACAAGUACCGGAGUAACUGCCGGUACCUUGACGGUACGUGACCAGAAAGCCACGGCUAACUACGUGCCAGCAGCCGCGGUAAUACGUAGGUGGCAAGCGUUGUCCGGAAUUAUUGGGCGUAAAGCGCGCGCAGGCGGUUCCUUAAGUCUGAUGUGAAAGCCCCCGGCUCAACCGGGGAGGGUCAUUGGAAACUGGGGGAACUUGAGUGCAGAAGAGGAGAGC